CGUCGUUAUUCUCAAGGUUGCUUCUAUGGAUAACAUAUAGAUAUCCAUUGCCUAGGCCUACUACUCAGCCAUUUAUGAAAUGACUACUGAAGAGAUAUCAUCACUGAUGACUAAGCUGAUUGGCUCUAGUGCAAGUGGGAGAUUGUUGGAAAUGUGCCCUAAAGCCAAUCAUAUGAUGAUACUUUACGGACAUUUUACAUGUUAAACUAAUCUAGUUUAACUAUAAAGGGCAAAGAUUAUUGUUUAAGCCGUCUCAUAUAAAUGUUAUAUGCUUAAACGAUAAAGUCCAAGGAAUAUGUGAUUGGGAGAAUGCAAU
This 316-nucleotide long non-coding RNA is filed under the name Malus domestica (apple). RNAcentral's name for it is "long non-coding RNA (MDOM_LNC005975)". The record is from RNAcentral. Lineage: Eukaryota; Viridiplantae; Streptophyta; Magnoliopsida; Rosales; Rosaceae.